UAUUUAUUUACUUUUAAUCCGCCAGGGGACUACAAGCAUUGGCUUGAAACCCAAAGGACUUGGCGGUGCUUUAGAACCACCUAGAGGAGCCUGUUCUAGAACUGAUAACCCCCGUUCAACCUCACCCUACUUUGUCAUACCCGCCUAUAUACCGCCGUCGUCAGCUUACCUUGUGAGAGAAUAUUAGUGAGCAAAAUUAGUACAACCCAAAACGUCAGGUCGAGGUGUAGUGUAUAGUAGGGGAAGAAAUGGGCUACAUUUAUCCUACCGAUAAAUACGAAUGAUUUACUGAAAAGUAAAGCUGAAGGAGGAUUUAGUAGUAAGAAGAAAAUAGAGAGUUC
This 341-nucleotide ribosomal RNA is filed under the name Syngnathus leptorhynchus (bay pipefish). RNAcentral's name for it is "partial 12S ribosomal RNA". It matches the Rfam family "Bacterial small subunit ribosomal RNA", at positions 848 to 1359 of the family's 1533-position model. The record is from RNAcentral. Lineage: Eukaryota; Metazoa; Chordata; Actinopteri; Syngnathiformes; Syngnathidae.